RNAcentral lists this ribosomal RNA (253 nucleotides) under uncultured bacterium. Its description in RNAcentral is "partial 16S ribosomal RNA". It matches the Rfam family "Bacterial small subunit ribosomal RNA", at positions 524 to 776 of the family's 1533-position model. The record is from RNAcentral.
UACGGAGGAUGCAAGCGUUAUCCGGAAUCAUUGGGUUUAAAGGGUCCGUAGGCGGAUUAAUAAGUCAGUGGUGAAAGUCUGCCGCUCAACGGUAGAAUUGCCAUUGAUACUGUUAGUCUUGAAUUACUAUGAAGUAGUUAGAAUGUGUAGUGUAGCGGUGAAAUGCAUAGAUAUUACACAGAAUACCAAUUGCGAAGGCAGAUUACUAAUAGUAUAUUGACGCUGAUGGACGAAAGCGUGGGGAGCGAACAGG